GUCUGGGUGGUGUGGUUGGGUAUCACGCUAGUCUCACAUACUAGAGGUCCCUAGUUCAAACGUGGGCUCAAAUA
This is a transfer RNA of Ipomoea nil (Japanese morning glory), 74 nucleotides long. It matches the Rfam family "tRNA". Rfam says of the family: Transfer RNA (tRNA) molecules are approximately 80 nucleotides in length. Their secondary structure includes four short double-helical elements and three loops (D, anti-codon, and T loops). The record is from Rfam. Lineage: Eukaryota; Viridiplantae; Streptophyta; Magnoliopsida; Solanales; Convolvulaceae.